Molecule: ribosomal RNA, 549 nt
Filed under: Triticum aestivum (bread wheat)
Lineage: Eukaryota; Viridiplantae; Streptophyta; Magnoliopsida; Poales; Poaceae
Description: partial small subunit ribosomal RNA
Source: RNAcentral
UUGGUCUUUGGAGAUGGAAACACAACUCAUUUCUGGAAAGAUCAUUGGAUUGAAGGCAAGUCCAUUUCAAAGCUUGCACCACUUAUUUUCCUCCUUGUUCCACAUCGACGGCGAAAAUCCUGUUUUGUUCAGGAAGGUCUCCACCUUCGCUCCUAUAUCCAAGACAUCCAGGGCGCACUCGAUCCUAUGGCCAUGGUGCAAUACAUCGAUCUAUGGGACCGUCUCUGUCACUUCCCGCUCUCUGGCGACCCUGACAGGCUUGUAUGGCGUUGGACAGUCUCCGGUGUUUACUCACCAAGUCCUGCUACGAUGUCUUAUUCUUGGGCUCUAGUGCAGGUCCGGUUUUCAAGCUCACUUGGAAGACAUGGGCACCGUUGCGGGCCAAGGGUUUCAUUUGUCUUGUCGUCCUGGACAGUGGAGAGGCUCGCUCGCCGUGGUCUACCCCAUGUCGAUCACUAUGUGUUCUGUGAUCACGUCCCCGAGGAACUGCAACACAUACUCGUUGGAUGCUCAUUUUACGGGCAAGUUUGGCUUGAGCUCCUUUUUUGA